CGCCUCUUGACGAUAAUAAGAGGUCCAGCCUGCCCAGUGAUAACUUCAACGGCCGCGGUACCCUAACCGUGCAAAGGUAGCAUAAUCACUUGUUCUUUAAAUAAGGACUUGUAUCAACGGCACCACGAGGGUUACACUGUCUCCCCCCUCCAAUCAGUGAAACUGAUCUCCCUAUGAAAAAGUGGGGAUAACACUAUAAGACGAGAAGACCCCAUGGAGCUUUAAACCUGAUAGCAAUUUAGUAAAACUACAAAAUUAUGCUAGCGGCUUUAGGUUGGGGUGACCGCGGAGUAAAAACUAACCUCCACAACGAAAAGACUUAAAUCUUAACCAAAGAAUUACUAUUCUAAGAAUUAGAAAACUAACGAACCAUGACCCAAUAUUGAUCAACGAACCAAGUUACCCUGGGGAUAACAGCGCAAUCUACUUCAAGAGUCCAUAUCGACAAGUAGGCUUACGACCUCGAUGUUGGAUCAGGGUAUCCUAGUGGUGCAGCCGCUACUAAGGGUUCGUUUGUUCAACGAUUAAAACCCU
This 534-nucleotide ribosomal RNA is filed under the name Raorchestes ponmudi. RNAcentral describes it as "partial 16S ribosomal RNA". It matches the Rfam family "Bacterial large subunit ribosomal RNA", at positions 1829 to 2597 of the family's 2925-position model. Lineage: Eukaryota; Metazoa; Chordata; Amphibia; Anura; Rhacophoridae. The record is from RNAcentral.